UACGAAGGGGGCUAGCGUUGCUCGGAAUCACUGGGCGUAAAGGGUGCGUAGGCGGGUCUUUAAGUCAGGGGUGAAAUCCUGGAGCUCAACUCCAGAACUGCCUUUGAUACUGAAGAUCUUGAGUUCGGGAGAGGUGAGUGGAACUGCGAGUGUAGAGGUGAAAUUCGUAGAUAUUCGCAGGAACACCAGUGGCGAAGGCGGCUCACUGGCCCGGUACUGACGCUGAGGUGCGAAAGCGUGGGGAGCAAACAGG
RNAcentral lists this ribosomal RNA (253 nucleotides) under uncultured bacterium. RNAcentral describes it as "partial 16S ribosomal RNA". It matches the Rfam family "Bacterial small subunit ribosomal RNA", at positions 524 to 776 of the family's 1533-position model. The record is from RNAcentral.